GAAUAGCAUAUGGGUUUGCCUGCCACAGGCGAAGGGUCGGACUUGUUUAGCAGAAGAGUUUUCUCUGUUGCAGGAUAUGGAGGAUUUGCCAAAAUUUUGCUAUCAAAUCGAAAAGCUAUAGUAGCUUUAAUGCAAUUUGUUUGGUAAUAUCCUCUAUAUUAUUUGCCCCUAAAAAUUCUUCUCUUGAACAAUGCCCACCCUUCGUCUCUGGACAUAUUCCCAUGCCUUUC
RNAcentral lists this microRNA precursor (230 nucleotides) under Picea abies (Norway spruce). Its description in RNAcentral is "miR3701j stem-loop (pab-MIR3701j)". The record is from miRBase by way of RNAcentral. Lineage: Eukaryota; Viridiplantae; Streptophyta; Pinopsida; Pinales; Pinaceae.